This is a long non-coding RNA of Micropterus salmoides (largemouth bass), 624 nucleotides long. RefSeq lists it as uncharacterized. The transcript is spliced from 4 exons. The record is from RefSeq and is a predicted model, not a curated record. NCBI's taxonomy places the organism in Eukaryota, Metazoa, Chordata, Actinopteri, Centrarchiformes, Centrarchidae.
AACCGGUAACCUAUUUAAUCUGGACGCUGAAAGCCAGUCGGUCUUUUCACAGACUGUGCUCUUACCAGAGGUUCAGGAGAUGGAGAGUCGUUCCGUGUAUAUAAUGCAAAACAACCUCAGCUGUCCAGUCAUCUCUAGCAAGGUGCUCUGUUCGGACCAUAUACCAUGUGGUGGACACCCGUAUGAGCCAGAUGGAGGAUGAUGGCCCUUGAAACUUCUGCAUAUCACAGUGAAAUCAUGGCUGACACCAGUCAGAGCUCUGACAAGAGGAUGGCUAGUGUGAAAGUCAUGAGUGAAAAUGCUCAAGGUUUAAGCUUGGAGCCGAAGCCAAAGAUGCAGCAGCUAGAACAGACAUGGAGCAUUCUUGGACAGAACUGAUACUUUGCAGGUAAACAAGACUGGAAAGACCUGAUGGAGGCUGGACCAAUGGAACAGUUCUCUCCCUUCAUAUAAUGCAUUGGAGCAGUAUGAAUCAGCAUGCUAUGUGCAGUGUGGACACUACUUUAAAGAAAUUGUUCAACAUUGAUCUCUGAAGCAUUUGUGAACUUAAGUUUAAACUUGUUAAACAAUGUUGAACCCUGUAAUUCAUGUUGUGAAAGUUACAAUAAACAGUUAAGGAAACUA